Molecule: ribosomal RNA, 1243 nt
Filed under: metagenome
Description: bacterial LSU rRNA
Rfam family: Bacterial large subunit ribosomal RNA
Source: RNAcentral
UGAAUACGAGACGCUAAGGCGUCGAAGUAGUGUAUGUCAUACUUCCAAGAAAAGCUUGCACUGUCAUAGAUAAAAAACGCCUGUACCAUAACCGACACAGGUGGGUAGGUAGAGUAUACUAAGGGGCGCGAGAUAACUCUCUCUAAGGAACUCGGCAAAAUAACUCCGUAACUUCGGGAGAAGGAGUGCCUUAUUCGUAAGGUUGCAAUAACAAGAUCCAAGCAACUGUUUAUCAAAAACACAGGUCUCCGCUAAGUCGUAAGACGAUGUAUGGGGGCUGACGCCUGCCCAGUGCCAGAAGGUUAAAGAAGUUGGUUAGCAAUUGCGAAGCUGAUAACUGAAGCCCUGGUGAACGGCGGCCGUAACAAUAACGGUCCUAAGGUAGCGAAAUUCCUUGUCGGGUAAGUUCCGACCCGCACGAAAGGCGUAAUGAUUUGGAUACUGUCUCGGAGAGGGGCUCGGUGAAAUAGACUUGUCUGUGAAGAUGCGGACUACCUGCACCAGGACAGAAAGACCCUAUGAAGCUUUACUGUAACUUGAAAUUGAAAUUGGACUUUAUUCGCGCAGUAUAGGUGGGAGGCGUUGAUUAUAAUCUUGUGGGAUUAUUGGAGCCAUCAGUGAGAUACCACUCUUGUAAUGUUAGAUUUCUAACUUUGAAUCAUUAUCUGGUCAAAGAACAGUUUCAGGCAGGCAGUUUGACUGGGGCGGUCGCCUCCUAAACGGUAACGGAGGCGUACAAAGGUUUCCUCUGAACGGUUAGAAAUCGUAUCUAGAGUGUAAAGGCAUAAGGAAGCUUGACUGUGAGACCUACAAGUCGAGCAGGGACGAAAGUCGGUCUUAGUGAUCUGACGGUACUGAGUGGAAAGGCCGUCACUCAACGGAUAAAAGUUACUCUAGGAUAACAGGCUGAUCUCCCCCAAGAGUUCACAUCGACGGGGAGGUUUGGCACCUCGAUGUCGGCUCAUCGCAUCCUGGGGCGGUAGUACGUCCCAAGGGUUGGGCUGUUCGCCCAUGAAAGCGGUACGCGAGCUGGGUUCAGAACGUCGUGAGACAGUUCGGUCCAUAUCCGGUGUAGGCGUUAGAAUAUUGAGAGGAGCCUUCUUUAGUACGAGAGGACCGAGAAGGACAUACCUCUGGUGUACCAGUUAUCGUGCCAACGGUAAACGCUGGGUAGCUAUGUAUGGAGUGGAUAACCGCUGAAAGCAUCUAAGUGGGAAGCCCACCUCAAGAUAAGUAUUCUCAC